This 577-nucleotide ribosomal RNA is filed under the name uncultured bacterium. RNAcentral's name for it is "bacterial SSU rRNA". It matches the Rfam family "Bacterial small subunit ribosomal RNA", at positions 338 to 916 of the family's 1533-position model. The record is from RNAcentral.
CCUACGGGAGGCAGCAGUGAGGAAUAUUGGUCAAUGGGCGCAAGCCUGAACCAGCCAUGCCGCGUGCAGGAUGACGGUCCUAUGGAUUGUAAACUGCUUUUGUACAGGAAGAAACACUCCCUCGUGAGGGAGCUUGACGGUACUGUAAGAAUAAGGAUCGGCUAACUCCGUGCCAGCAGCCGCGGUAAUACGGAGGAUCCAAGCGUUAUCCGGAAUCAUUGGGUUUAAAGGGUCCGUAGGCGGUUUUAUAAGUCAGUGGUGAAAUCUGGUCGCUCAACGAUCAAACGGCCAUUGAUACUGUAAGACUUGAAUUACUUGGAAGUAACUAGAAUAUGUAGUGUAGCGGUGAAAUGCUUAGAGAUUACAUGGAAUACCAAUUGCGGAGGCAGGUUACUACAAGUAUAUUGACGCUGAUGGACGAAAGCGUGGGGAGCGAACAGGAUUAGAUACCCUGGUAGUCCACGCCGUAAACGAUGGAUACUAGCUGUUUGGAGCAAUCUGAGUGGCUAAGCGAAAGUGAUAAGUAUCCCACCUGGGGAGUACGCUCGCAGAGUGAAACGUCAAAUGAAAUUGACGG